RNAcentral lists this ribosomal RNA (547 nucleotides) under Parthenopoides massena. Its description in RNAcentral is "partial 16S ribosomal RNA". It matches the Rfam family "Bacterial large subunit ribosomal RNA", at positions 1829 to 2630 of the family's 2925-position model. Lineage: Eukaryota; Metazoa; Arthropoda; Malacostraca; Decapoda; Parthenopidae. The record is from RNAcentral.
GUCUAUUAGGUAUUUAUUUAUAGUCUAGCCUGCUCACUGAUAAAUUAUUAAAGAGCCGCAGUAUCAUGACUGUGCAAAGGUAGCAUAAUCAUUAGUUUUUUAAUUAAAAGCUUGUAUGAAUGGUUGGACAAGAAAAAUUCUGUCUUUAUAAUAAAAAUUGAAUCUAACUUUUAAGUGAAAAGGCUUAAAUUUUUCAAAGGGACGAUAAGACCCUAAAAGCUUUAUAAGUUAUUAAAAUUUAAUGAAAUUAGUAUAAUAAUUAUUUAAUUUUAGUAUUUUAUUUUGUUGGGGCGACAUAGGUAUAAAUAAAAUAACUGCUUAUAUUUAAUACAUCUAUAAUUGAAGCGUUAAAUGAUCCUUAUUAAAGAUUAAAGAUUAAGUUACUUUAGGGAUAACAGCGUUAUUUUCUUUGAGAGUUCAUAUCGAAAAGAAAGUUUGCGACCUCGAUGUUGAAUUAAAUAUCUUCUUAAUGUAGCCGUUAAGAGAAGAAGGUCUGUUCGACCUUUAAAUUUUUACAUGAUUUGAGUUCAGACCGGCGUAAGCCAGG